Molecule: long non-coding RNA, 1359 nt
Organism: Daktulosphaira vitifoliae (grape phylloxera)
Lineage: Eukaryota; Metazoa; Arthropoda; Insecta; Hemiptera; Phylloxeridae
Exons: 2
Source: RefSeq, a predicted model, not a curated record
UUACAAAGUAAAAUGAUUUAAUUUUGUAGUUGAAACCUAUCAUAUCAAACUUCAUUCGUUAAUAAAUAUUUUGAAAACAUUAGAAAUUAAUGAUUUUAAUUGUCUUUAUGGAGACGAUGUAAUAACUAACUGUUUAAUUGAUAAAUUAGAAUUUUUUUUUCAAUUUUUGAGAGUAAUAUCUUCAACUAGAUACGAAUUGUAGUAAUUUGACGUAUUGUUGAAAAAAGUAGGUCAAGUUAGAGCAGAGAAAAUAAAUGAUAGUCACAAAAAAAUAUCUUCUCGGCUUUGCAUCGAAGCGAAAACUUAAAAUAUAGUAAAAUAAUUUUAAUACGAAUAAGAAAUUUCUUCUUGCAAGGGGCGACUAAAGUGAUGGGAUCCUUGAUCUUUAUUGAAGUUAUUGAAUCUAAAUGUGAUAAAAAUCAAACGAGUUAAAAUUUAUACUAACUUAAAAAGAAUUAAGAAAAAAUGCAAAAAAUUCAUUGCCAUAUGCGGGUUGGAACCUCGUACCCCAAGCGUGUAAAACAUAAAUUUUACCAACUCGGCAACCGUACGUUGCUUCCGGCGGUUGAAAAAUUGGCUAUUUAAGCUAGUUCAAAUUUCAAAGUUAUUUUUCUCGACUUAAAAGAAACAAACAUAUUUAAAUAAGUUUAACUAUCUAUACUAUAUCAAUUUUAAUUUAUAUAAUAUUUAUGAAAAUCUGUACUCCCCUUGUCAGGUAUUUUAAAAUAAAAUAAAAUACAAAACCCAGAAUUUUAACACAAAAAUAGCAUAUUUUUGCAUACGGUAGUCAUUUUUACCAUGAAGACAAAUCCAGAGGUCAAAUUUUUUUUUUUCACAUUAAAGUAUAUUACAUAAGCUUUAAUUUAAGAUAUAUUUAAAAGUGUCAGUAUUUCCGGAAUACUUUCAAAAAUUAAAUUGAAAAUAUCGUAGUAACAAUACGCAUGUUUAAAGUUUUGACCCCCCUUGUUAAAGGGGUAUGAUCCGAUUUACAAAAAAAGCGUGCCAGAUGAAAGGGGUAUAUCAAUAUUUAUUAUAAAAAAAUAAUAAUAUAGAUCCAUACAUUUUUCCAAAAGUUAUAUAAAAUAUAAAUUAAAUAAUAUAACAUAUAAAAUCGAGAUUUUUUUCACGGAAAUCGUACGUUUUUCUUUAACUUUGAUGUCCGUUUUCACCACGAAGACAAGUCCAGAGGUCAAAUUUUUUUUUUUCAAAUUAAAGUAUAUUACAUUAGCUUUAAUUUAAGGUAUAUAUAAAAUUGUCAGUCUUUCCGGAACAUUUUCAAAAGUUAAGUUGAAAAAGUUAAUUUUUUGUAAAAAAGUUACCAUUUUGAAACCCCAUCCUUUGGGCUGUUAAAGGGUCAAA